UACGUAGGGCGCAAGCGUUGUCCGGAAUCACUGGGCGUAAAGGGCGCGUAGGCGGCUUUAUAAGUCGGGGGUGAAAGCCUGUGGCUCAACCACAGAAUUGCCUUCGAUACUGUAUGGCUUGAGACCGGAAGAGGUAAGUGGAACUGCGAGUGUAGAGGUGAAAUUCGUAGAUAUUCGCAAGAACACCAGUGGCGAAGGCGGCUUACUGGUCCGGUACUGACGCUGAGGUGCGAAAGCGUGGGGAGCAAACAGG
Molecule: ribosomal RNA, 253 nt
Filed under: uncultured bacterium
Lineage: Bacteria
Description: partial 16S ribosomal RNA
Rfam family: Bacterial small subunit ribosomal RNA
Source: RNAcentral